UCGAGGGGCAGCAUUUUAGUUUGCUUGCAAACUAAAGAUGGCGACCGGCGCACGGGUGAGCUAACACGNUAUCCAACCUGCCGAUAACUCGGGGAUAGCCUUUCGAAAGAAAGAUUAAUAUCCGAUAGUAUAUUAAAACCGCAUGGUUUUACUAUUAAAGAAUUUCGGUUAUCGAUGGGGAUGCGUUCCAUUAGUUUGUUGGCGGGGUAACGGCCCACCAAGACUACGAUGGAUAGGGGUUCUGAGAGGAAGGUCCCCCACAUUGGAACUGAGACACGGUCCAAACUCNUACGGGAGGCAGCAGUGAGGAAUAUUGGUCAAUGGACGAGAGUCUGAACCAGCCAAGUAGCGUGAAGGAUGACUGCCCUAUGGGUUGUAAACUUCUUUUAUAUGGGAAAUAAAAGUAUUCCACGUGUGGGNAUUUUGUAUGUACCAUAUGAAUAAGGANUCGGCUAACUCCGUGCCAGCAGCCGCGGUAAUACGGAGGAUCCGAGCGUUAUCCGGAUUUAUUGGGUUUAAAAGGGAGCGUAGGUGGAUUGUUAAGUCAGUUGUGAAAAGUUUGCGGCUCAACCGUAAAAUUGCAGUUGAAACUGGCAGUCUUGAGUACAGUAGAGGUGGGCGGAAUUCGUGGUGUAGCGGUGAAAUGCUUAGAUAUCACGAAGAACUCCGAUUGCGAAGGCAGCUCACUAGACUGCAACUGACACUGAUGCUCGAAAGUGUGGGUAUCAAACAGGAUUAGAUACCCUGGUAGUCCACACAGUAAACGAUGAAUACUCGCUGUUUGCGAUAUACAGUAAGCGGCCAAGCGAAAGCAUUAAGUAUUCCACCUGGGGGAGUACGCCGGCAACGGUGAAACUCAAAGGAAUUGACGGGGGCCCGCACAAGCGGAGGAACAUGUGGUUUAAUUCGAUGAUACGCGAGGAACCUUACCCNGGGCUUAAAUUGCAUUUGAAUAAUCUGGAAACAGGUUAGCCGCCAAGGCAAAUGUGAAAGGUGCUGCAUGGUUGUCGUCAGCUCGUGCCGGGAGGUGUCGGCUUAAGUGCCAUAACGAGCGCAACCCUUAUCUUUAGUUACUAACAGGUCAUGCUGAGGACUCUAGAGAGACUGCCGUCGUAAGAUGUGAGGAAGGUGGGGAUGACGUCAAAUCAGCACGGCCCUUACGUCCGGGGCUACACACGUGUUACAAUGGGGGGUACAGAAGGCAGCUACCUGGCGACAGGAUGCUAAUCCCAAAAACCUCUCUCAGUUCGGAUCGAAGUCUGCAACCCGACUUCGUGAAGCUGGAUUCGCUAGUAAUCGCGCAUCAGCCAUGGCGCGGUGAAUACGUUCCCGGGCCUUGUACACACCGCCCGUCAAGCCAUGAAAGCCGGGGGUACCUGAAGUACGAACCGCAAGAGCUCCUAGG
Molecule: ribosomal RNA, 1405 nt
Filed under: bacterium NLAE-zl-G391
Lineage: Bacteria
Description: 16S ribosomal RNA
Rfam family: Bacterial small subunit ribosomal RNA
Source: RNAcentral